Molecule: ribosomal RNA, 3088 nt
Filed under: Salmonella enterica subsp. enterica
Lineage: Bacteria; Pseudomonadati; Pseudomonadota; Gammaproteobacteria; Enterobacterales; Enterobacteriaceae
Description: 23S ribosomal RNA
Rfam family: Bacterial large subunit ribosomal RNA
Source: RNAcentral
GGUUAAGCGACUAAGCGUACACGGUGGAUGCCCUGGCAGUCAGAGGCGAUGAAGGGCGUGCUAAUCUGCGAUAAGCGCCGGUAAGGUGAUAUGAACCGUUAUAACCGGCGAUACCCGAAUGGGGAAACCCAGUGUGAUUCGUCACACUAUCAUUAACUGAAUCCAUAGGUUAAUGAGGCGAACCGGGGGAACUGAAACAUCUAAGUACCCCGAGGAAAAGAAAUCAACCGAGAUUCCCCCAGUAGCGGCGAGCGAACGGGGAGGAGCCCAGAGCCUGAAUCAGCAUGUGUGUUAGUGGAAGCGUCUGGAAAGGCGCGCGAUACAGGGUGACAGCCCCGUACACAAAAGCGCAUGUGCUGUGAGCUCGAUGAGUAGGGCGGGACACGUGGUAUCCUGUCUGAAUAUGGGGGGACCAUCCUCCAAGGCUAAAUACUCCUGACUGACCGAUAGUGAACCAGUACCGUGAGGGAAAGGCGAAAAGAACCCCGGCGAGGGGAGUGAAAAAGAACCUGAAACCGUGUACGUACAAGCAGUGGGAGCCCCACCACUAAGCCAGUGGUGAACUCCACAUACGCAUCCUUUGCUGAGGAUACGGUUAACGGAGCGAAAGCGACGUUCAACCGCAAAACAAGCAGAGGGGGCUUAGUGGUGGGGUGACUGCGUACCUUUUGUAUAAUGGGUCAGCGACUUAUAUUCUGUAGCAAGGUUAACCGAAUAGGGGAGCCGUAGGGAAACCGAGUCUUAACCGGGCGUUAAGUUGCAGGGUAUAGACCCGAAACCCGGUGAUCUAGCCAUGGGCAGGUUGAAGGUUGGGUAACACUAACUGGAGGACCGAACCGACUAAUGUUGAAAAAUUAGCGGAUGACCUGUGGCUGGGGGUGAAAGGCCAAUCAAACCGGGAGAUAGCUGGUUCUCCCCGAAAGCUAUUUAGGUAGCGCCUCGUGAAUUCAUCUCCGGGGGUAGAGCACUGUUUCGGCUAGGGGGCCAUCCCGGCUUACCAACCCGAUGCAAACUGCGAAUACCGGAGAAUGUUAUCACGGGAGACACACGGCGGGUGCUAACGUCCGUCGUGAAGAGGGAAACAACCCAGACCGCCAGCUAAGGUCCCAAAGUCAUGGUUAAGUGGGAAACGAUGUGGGAAGGCCCAGACAGCCAGGAUGUUGGCUUAGAAGCAGCCAUCAUUUAAAGAAAGCGUAAUAGCUCACUGGUCGAGUCGGCCUGCGCGGAAGAUGUAACGGGGCUAAACCAUGCACCGAAGCUGCGGCAGCGAACGUAUCACUUAAAGCGAUUCAGCGGGUUACGAUUGACGGAGCGAAGCGACGUCAAAGCGUAUACAAAGUCGAGUCGGUUUAAGGAUACGUUCGUUGGGUAGGGGAGCGUUCUGUAAGCCUGCGAAGGUGGCCUGUGAGGGUUGCUGGAGGUAUCAGAAGUGCGAAUGCUGACAUAAGUAACGAUAAAGCGGGUGAAAAGCCCGCUCGCCGGAAGACCAAGGGUUCCUGUCCAACGUUAAUCGGGGCAGGGUGAGUCGACCCCUAAGGCGAGGCCGAAAGGCGUAGUCGAUGGGAAACGGGUUAAUAUUCCCGUACUUGGUGUUACUGCGAAGGGGGGACGGAGAAGGCUAUGUUGGCCGGGCGACGGUUGUCCCGGUUUAAGCGUGUAGGUGUGUGUUCCAGGUAAAUCCGGUUCACUUUAACACUGAGGCGUGACGACGAGGCACUACGGUGCUGAAGCAACAAAUGCCCUGCUUCCAGGAAAAGCCUCUAAGCAUCAGGUAACAUCAAAUCGUACCCCAAACCGACACAGGUGGUCAGGUAGAGAAUACCAAGGCGCUUGAGAGAACUCGGGUGAAGGAACUAGGCAAAAUGGUGCCGUAACUUCGGGAGAAGGCACGCUGACACGUAGGUGAAGUGAUUUACUCAUGGAGCUGAAGUCAGUCGAAGAUACCAGCUGGCUGCAACUGUUUAUUAAAAACACAGCACUGUGCAAACACGAAAGUGGACGUAUACGGUGUGACGCCUGCCCGGUGCCGGAAGGUUAAUUGAUGGGGUCAGCGCAAGCGAAGCUCCUGAUCGAAGCCCCGGUAAACGGCGGCCGUAACUAUAACGGUCCUAAGGUAGCGAAAUUCCUUGUCGGGUAAGUUCCGACCUGCACGAAUGGCGUAAUGAUGGCCAGGCUGUCUCCACCCGAGACUCAGUGAAAUUGAACUCGCUGUGAAGAUGCAGUGUACCCGCGGCAAGACGGAAAGACCCCGUGAACCUUUACUAUAGCUUGACACUGAACAUUGAGCCUUGAUGUGUAGGAUAGGUGGGAGGCUUUGAAGUGUGGACGCCAGUCUGCAUGGAGCCGACCUUGAAAUACCACCCUUUAAUGUUUGAUGUUCUAACGUGGACCCGUAAUCCGGGUUGCGGACAGUGUCUGGUGGGUAGUUUGACUGGGGCGGUCUCCUCCUAAAGAGUAACGGAGGAGCACGAAGGUUGGCUAAUCCUGGUCGGACAUCAGGAGGUUAGUGCAAUGGCAUAAGCCAGCUUGACUGCGAGCGUGACGGCGCGAGCAGGUGCGAAAGCAGGUCAUAGUGAUCCGGUGGUUCUGAAUGGAAGGGCCAUCGCUCAACGGAUAAAAGGUACUCCGGGGAUAACAGGCUGAUACCGCCCAAGAGUUCAUAUCGACGGCGGUGUUUGGCACCUCGAUGUCGGCUCAUCACAUCCUGGGGCUGAAGUAGGUCCCAAGGGUAUGGCUGUUCGCCAUUUAAAGUGGUACGCGAGCUGGGUUUAGAACGUCGUGAGACAGUUCGGUCCCUAUCUGCCGUGGGCGCUGGAGAACUGAGGGGGGCUGCUCCUAGUACGAGAGGACCGGAGUGGACGCAUCACUGGUGUUCGGGUUGUCAUGCCAAUGGCACUGCCCGGUAGCUAAAUGCGGAAGAGAUAAGUGCUGAAAGCAUCUAAGCACGAAACUUGCCCCGAGAUGAGUUCUCCCUGAGACUUAGAGUCUCCUGAAGGAACGUUGAAGACGACGACGUUGAUAGGCCGGGUGUGUAAGCGCAGCGAUGCGUUGAGCUAACCGGUACUAAUGAACCGUGAGGCUUAACCUU